GAUGAACGCUGGCGGCGUGCUUAACACAUGCAAGUCGAACGAGAAAUGUAGACGGAAACCUUCGGGCGGAAGCCUUCAUUUCGAGUGGCGGACGGGUGAGUAACGCGUGGGUAACCUGCCUCAUACAGGGGGAUAACAGUUGGAAACGACUGUUAAUACCGCAUAAGACCACAGCAUCGCAUGAUGCGGGGGUAAAAACUCCGGUGGUAUGAGAUGGACCCGCGUUCGAUUAGCCAGUUGGCGGGGUAACGGCCCACCAAAGCGACGAUCGAUAGCCGAUCUGAGAGGAUGACCGGCCACAUUGGGACUGAGACACGGCCCACACUCCUACGGGAGGCAGCAGUGGGGAAUAUUGCACAAUGGGGGAAACCCUGAUGCAGCGACGCCGCGUGAGUGAAGAAGUACUUCGGUAUGUAAAGCUCUAUCAGCAGGGAAGAAAAUGACGGUACCUGAGGAAGAAGCCCCGGCUAACUACGUG
RNAcentral lists this ribosomal RNA (478 nucleotides) under uncultured bacterium. RNAcentral's name for it is "partial 16S ribosomal RNA". It matches the Rfam family "Bacterial small subunit ribosomal RNA", at positions 28 to 507 of the family's 1533-position model. The record is from RNAcentral.